CAGGGAUGGCCUUCAGCAAUCGGAUGACUACCACCUUCUCCUGAUCAACUGGGAUCCUGGGAUCCUUGUGUGUGAAGAUAGGGUAAUCAGAAAAGCACUUGGGUACUUAGAGCGUUCUCUGGAAGACUAUCGCAAAAGAAUGAAGUCAUGCCAAACCCAGUCAGCAAUGUGUCAGGGAAGGCCAACUAAGAGAGACCCCAAAUGAAGUGUUGACAGUUCCACGAAUCACAACACACACAUGCAGCACCCAGGGGUCACGAGCUCGCAAUGAGGUGCCAGAAUUGGCCUACGUACACACGUGUAUCGGCACGCACACCCACAAAAGAGAAGGGUACCCACUAAUGAAAGCGUGCAGGGCAGAAGACGAAAUGGACCUCACGUACGGUCUGGAAAAAGGGCAACGAGAACGUCCGCGUUGCCCUGCGCCCUACUACCGUUCCGUCAAGCAAGGGGAAGUUUCCGGACCUUUUACAUUCUACUGUAUCCAGAAGUCAAUCUCACGCACCCUGCCGCUGCUUUCAGCUUUGCGAACCAUAGGAAGACAAAACCCUUCUGACAUAACAGCUAUUUCUUUCGGGAAAACAGCUGCAGCAAUAAUCUAGGGGAGAAACGAUCAUCAUUACUUCCAGUUAGAAUCUCUCCUUUGGUUGAAC
Ornithorhynchus anatinus (platypus) is the source of this 653-nucleotide long non-coding RNA. RefSeq lists it as uncharacterized. The transcript has 2 exons. The record is from RefSeq and is a predicted model, not a curated record. Lineage: Eukaryota; Metazoa; Chordata; Mammalia; Monotremata; Ornithorhynchidae.